UGUCCCUGAGCACCUAGACAGCCUCACCAGGUUGGUGUUGCCCCCAACCUGGUGACAGAGGGUGGUGGAGGUGGCUGCCGGUCUGGGUGACUUUGCACAUUCUGCUGGCCUAUAUGGGAAGAUUUUUUUUUUACUCCUACUAAUUGAUCCAAAACAAUGGGAUUAUCAGUUGGAAGCAAAUGAAGAAGAGAAAAAGUGGGAGUAUUAUUUACUGGUGUGAUGACUGAGCCUUCGAUAUGAGACAUCAGCAUAAAAGGCAAUUAUGUUCCUAGGUGUCAGGCAGGAUAUUCCCUGCCAAGUCAGGGAAGAAUCAGUAUCAAUGUAAAAGGCUCUACUGUAAUUUCCUCUGGGUAAAAUUCUGCAUAUAACUCCACUUAUCCCAACUGAAGCAAAAAGGAGUUGGAAGAGCACCUGGUUGGUCAGAGAAGGGAGAACAUGUUUUACAAAAGGAGACUAAGACAACGUGGCUUGUCUAACCUGGGAAAAUGUGGGCUGAGGGAAUAUAAAAGACUGCCUUCCAUUAAAACAUAGUGGGGUAAAGCA
Molecule: long non-coding RNA, 543 nt
Organism: Cygnus olor (mute swan)
Lineage: Eukaryota; Metazoa; Chordata; Aves; Anseriformes; Anatidae
Exons: 2
Source: RefSeq, a predicted model, not a curated record